Molecule: ribosomal RNA, 301 nt
Filed under: uncultured bacterium
Lineage: Bacteria
Description: partial 16S ribosomal RNA
Rfam family: Bacterial small subunit ribosomal RNA
Source: RNAcentral
CAGUCGCCGCGGUAAUACGUAGGUGGCAAGCGUUGUCCGGAAUUAUUGGGCGUAAAGGGUGCGUAGGCGGUUUGAUAAGUCUUGUGUGAAAUCUAUGGGCUCAACCCAUAGUCUGCACAGGAAACUGUCGGGCUUGAGAGUGGGAGAGGUGAGUGGAAUUUCCGGUGUAGCGGUGAAAUGCGUAGAUAUCGGAAGGAACACCUGUGGCGAAAGCGGCUCACUGGACCAUUUCUGACGCUGAUGCACGAAAGCUAGGGGAGCAAACAGGAUUAGAUACCCCGGUAGUCCCUGUCUCUUAUAU